This 499-nucleotide small RNA is filed under the name Oryza sativa Japonica Group (Japanese rice). RNAcentral describes it as "sRNA Os10g0198300". The record is from RNAcentral. Lineage: Eukaryota; Viridiplantae; Streptophyta; Magnoliopsida; Poales; Poaceae.
CUCUCUCUCUCUCCUCUCUAUCUUAUCUCUAUUCUCUCAUCCUCUUAUUUUCUUUUCUAGCUUCAUCUCUAGCGGCGAGGCGCAGCACCGGGCGAGCGCGGCGCCGGGCGGCGGCGGCGCCUGUGCGCGGCGCCGGGCAGCGGGGGCGGCCAGCACUGCGCCGGGCAGCGGCGGCCAGCGCGGCACCGGGCGGGGGCGCAUGCGCGCGCUGGGAGCCAUGUCGGGCGGCGGAGGCGGCCAGCAUGGCGCCAGGCAGGGAGUAGCGCCGAGCGGGGAAGCCUGCACGCGCUGGGCGGGAGCGGCAGCCAGCGUGGCGCUAGGCGUGGAUCAGCGUCGGGCGGUGGCUUGUGCGGAGAGCGGCGGCGGCAUGUGCGAAUGCGAAUUUUUCCUGUGAAUUUGUUUAUUUGUGAUGUGAAUUUGUUCACACUGUGGAUCUGUGAAUUUGUGAUGUCAAUUGGAGUAUGUUCAUUGGAUCUAUGAAGUUGUGGAUGAUUUUCUG